GGACUUCAAGGCGAUCCUCUCCGACCCGCGCUUCCACGCGAAGCGCUUCCUCGGCGAGCCGCAGAUGGCGUUGACGAGCGUCGAGGUCCCCGACAUGCCCGGCUUCAUCCCGAGCAUGAACGGUCCGGACCACCUCGCCGUACGCCGCCUCGCAGCGGGCGACUUCACCGUGAAGCGCGUCGAAUCGCUCCAGCCGACGAUCGAUGCCGUCGUCGACAAGUACCUCGACAACGUCGAGCGGCACGGGUCACCGUGCGACCUCUACGAGGAGUACUGCCUGCAGAUCCCAUCCGAGGUGAUCGCGAUGAUCCUCGGCGUGCC
This 321-nucleotide unclassified non-coding RNA is filed under the name plant metagenome. RNAcentral describes it as "partial contains 5.8S ribosomal RNA, internal transcribed spacer 2, and large subunit ribosomal RNA". The record is from RNAcentral.